GAGGGUAUGGCUCAGUGGUAGAGUGCAUGCUUAGCAUACAUGAGGUCCUGGGUUCAAUCCCUGGUACCUUCA
RNAcentral lists this transfer RNA (72 nucleotides) under Camelus bactrianus (Bactrian camel). It matches the Rfam family "tRNA". Rfam says of the family: Transfer RNA (tRNA) molecules are approximately 80 nucleotides in length. Lineage: Eukaryota; Metazoa; Chordata; Mammalia; Artiodactyla; Camelidae. RNAcentral also lists the same sequence under 3 other names. The record is from Rfam by way of RNAcentral.